AGUCUCACGAAGCUAUUUUUAAAAUUUAUUCUUUACUUGGUCACUUUUUGUUCCUUGGACACCAAUUUUGCUUUGACUUUUUUUCCUCAAAGUAUAAAAAGUAUGAAAUAUAAACAAGCUCUUGCACUGCAUAUUUAGAAGUGUACAAUUGAAGCAUUAUAGAGCUAUCUAUAUACUGAUAAAUC
Long non-coding RNA from Dipodomys spectabilis (banner-tailed kangaroo rat), 185 nucleotides. RefSeq lists it as uncharacterized. The transcript has 3 exons. Lineage: Eukaryota; Metazoa; Chordata; Mammalia; Rodentia; Heteromyidae. The record is from RefSeq and is a predicted model, not a curated record.